UUAGAGUUUGAUCCUGGCUCAGGAUGAACGCCCUCGGCAGGCUUAACACAUGCAAGUCGAGGGGCAGCGAGAUCAGUGCUUGCACUGAUUGUCGGCGACCGGCGCACGGGUGCGUAACGCGUAUGCAACCUACCCAUUACAGGGGGAUAACACUGAGAAAUCGGUACUAAUACCCCAUAACAUCCAGGGAGGCAUCUUCUUGGGUUGAAAACUCCGGUGGUAAUGGAUGGGCAUGCGUUGUAUUAGUUAGUUGGUGGGGUAACGGCUCACCAAGACAACGAUACAUAGGGGGACUGAGAGGUUAACCCCCCACAUUGGUACUGAGACACGGACCAAACUCCUACGGGAGGCAGCAGUGAGGAAUAUUGGUCAAUGGACGCAAGUCUGAACCAGCCAUGCCGCGUGCAGGAAGACGGCUCUAUGAGUUGUAAACUGCUUUUGUACGAGGGUAAACGCAGAUACGCGUAUCUGUCUGAAAGUAUCGUACGAAUAAGGAUCGGCUAACUCCGUGCCAGCAGCCGCGGUAAUACGGAGGAUUCAAGCGUUAUCCGGAUUUAUUGGGUUUAAAGGGUGCGUAGGCGGUCGGAUAAGUUAGAGGUGAAAUCCCGGGGCUCAACUUCGGAAUUGCCUCUGAUACUGUUCGGCUAGAGAGUAGUUGCGGUAGGCGGAAUGUAUGGUGUAGCGGUGAAAUGCUUAGAGAUCAUACAGAACACCGAUUGCGAGGGCAGCUUACCAAGCUACUUCUGACGUUGAGGCACGAAAGCGUGGGGAGCAAACAGGAUUAGAUACCCUGGUAGUCCACGCAGUAAACGAUGAUAACUCGUUGUCGGCGAUACAGUGUCGGUGACUAAGCGAAAGCGAUAAGUUAUCCACCUGGGGAGUACGUUCGCAAGAAUGAAACUCAAAGGAAUUGACGGGGGCCCGCACAAGCGGAGGAACAUGUGGUUUAAUUCGAUGAUACGCGAGGAACCUUACCCGGGCUUGAAAGUUAGUGACGGAUCUUGAAAGAGGUCUUCCCUUCGGGGCACGAAACUAGGUGCUGCAUGGUUGUCGUCAGCUCGUGCCGUGAGGUGUCGGGUUAAGUCCCAUAACGAGCGCAACCCCUACCGUUAGUUGCCAGCAGGUCAAGCUGGGCACUCUGACGGGACUGCCGGUGUAAGCCGAGAGGAAGGUGGGGAUGACGUCAAAUCAGCACGGCCCUUACGUCCGGGGCUACACACGUGUUACAAUGGCAGGUACAGAGGGCAGCUACCCAGCGAUGGGAUGCGAAUCUCGAAAGCCUGUCUCAGUUCGGAUUGGAGGCUGAAACCCGCCUCCAUGAAGUUGGAUUCGCUAGUAAUCGCGCAUCAGCCAUGGCGCGGUGAAUACGUUCCCGGGCCUUGCACUCACCGCCCGUCA
This 1398-nucleotide ribosomal RNA is filed under the name uncultured bacterium. RNAcentral describes it as "16S ribosomal RNA". It matches the Rfam family "Bacterial small subunit ribosomal RNA". The record is from RNAcentral.